AUGUGGAUGACGGGCCAUCGCCAGCCCCUCAGUCUGGGGACCCCAGGGCCUGGGUCGUCCACAUGCAGAGGCUGCCAUACACACGGAUGUGGUGGCAAUGCCCCCCACAGCUAUCAGGGACCCGAGGACACAGGGGCAAGACUCCGGAGCAGGGCCUUCCUGCAGGCCGGCCACACUCCUGCCUGGAGCCCCUGGGCUGGUACACGGAUCCCACAGGAUUGGGUCUGCACAGGGCUCCUACCCCACCAAGGGCCGCCCCAAUCCACCGGCCUCCCCGAGAACCCCGCUCCAGCUCAGGCCAGGGGGCUGGGGGGCUGGUGCUGCAGGCAGGAGCCAGGACAGGCACCGAGGACCCCAGGGCACCCCAGACGCAGUGCUCUGAGCUGCUCAGGUUCAGGCCUGGAGAUGCACCCGAGAUCCUGCAGGAGCUCAGAACACCAGGGUGGCGGGGAUGGGGAGGGCAUGACAGCCAGGCCCACUGCCAGGCGACCAUUCCUACAGUGGCCCCAGGUCACUGGUGAGAAUCCUGCCCGGAAGCCCCCUCCGUUCCCCACCCCAGGCAGAGGCAGAGGUCACCUGGAGACCCCCGCCUGGGGGUGGGGGCAGGAAGAGGCAGCCCCUUGGGCCCCCCAUCCCCUGCAACAGCCGCUCCAGACCCUCCAGCGUCCCUGCAGCCGUGGCCCAGAGCCCCCNCCCCCGCCGUUGCGAUGCACCCACCGGGCUGGACGGCUCCGUGACCACGUCUUCCUCGGAUGAAAUCUGAGUCCCUAGAGACAACGGUGUCACAGACCCUGCAGGGGAGAGUGGCCAGUCCUCCCCUCAGGGACAAGCCAGGCUCAGGGCCGCCCCCGCGGGGCGCACCUUCAUCAGACUCAGUCGGUCCUGAGAGGGAACGUGGAAGGACAUCGCCUGCUUGCUGGUGGAGGAGAACGAGGGCGCGGAGCCUGAUACACGCUGACGGAGGCCCAGCCCCAGGACGCGGGAGCCCAGUGGCCUCUCUGACACCCCCUGAGCCCCCGCUCCUGAGCUGCGGGUCCCUGGGCGGGAUGGGCGGAGCCCACGUUGCCUCUGGAACUCUUUGCACCGAGCCAGGGGUCUGCACACGUCCGCCCACCCGCGGAGCAGCCGUCCCCGCCCUUCAUCGCCAAGACCCAGGCAGGGUCCUUGCACCAACGGCCAGAAGGGCCAGCCCAAUCUCGGGGCUGCAGCCACCCCAGAGCUCCACCUGUCCAGACAGGGUGGAAAAUGCGUGAGCGGAGGGUGGGGGCCGGCAGAGGUGCAGACUCCAGCCGGAGGGAGCCCCGCCCCCAGUCCCUCCAGGUCUCCCCCCAGCCUCUACCAGGCCGGGCACUCACGCUCCACGGGGAUCUUGCAGAACCUGACGAGCAGGAGUGGGCAGCAGAGAUUGGGGAAGUGCUGGCAGCCUCUUUCUCAUCGGUCCUGUCUGGCCUCUGGCUUCUGCGCUGACACCGGUCCAUUCCGGGGGGCGGGGCUUAGAGAAAGGGGCAGGGCUCCAGACCACCAGCUGCAGAUACGAGCUCAGCUCAGCUCGGAAAGGCGGGGGCCCGAUGGAGCAGUGGAGGUUAGGCAGGGGAGGGGCCCAGCUACCUGUGGAUCAGGUGGGUGGCUUAAGCACCAGGCUGUGAGCCAGCGGCCAGGUAGAGUCGAGGGCGCGGCAGAUGAACUCAGGAGCGUCUCUGCCCAGCUGUAUGUGUCCAGGUGCUUCUGAAAUAGCUGCGGAAGAGCAGGGCAGGUC
Molecule: long non-coding RNA, 1756 nt
Filed under: Sus scrofa (pig)
Lineage: Eukaryota; Metazoa; Chordata; Mammalia; Artiodactyla; Suidae
Description: lncRNA (ENSSSCG00015041443.1)
Source: RNAcentral